RNAcentral lists this ribosomal RNA (331 nucleotides) under uncultured eukaryote. Its description in RNAcentral is "partial 18S ribosomal RNA". It matches the Rfam family "Eukaryotic small subunit ribosomal RNA", at positions 1470 to 1796 of the family's 1831-position model. The record is from RNAcentral.
CCCUUAGAUGUUCUGGGCUGCACACGUGCUACACUGGCAGGUUCAGCGAGCUUCAUGCCCUGAUCUGAAAGGAAUGGGAAAUCUUUUCAAAACCUGCCGUGCUUGGGAUAGAUGUUGCAAUUAUUCAUCUUCAACGAGGAUUGCCUUGUAAGCGCACGUCAUCAGCGUGCAUUGAAUACGACCCUGUAUUCUGUACACACCGCCCGUCGCUCCUACCGAUUGAAGUUUUCGGUGAGUUGACAGGAGGAUUUUUUUGAAACUGGUUCGCCAGUGGAUUUUAGAUCCAAAUGCCAACGAAUCGAUGGCUUUAGAGGAAGGAGAAGUCGUAACA